UGAGGAAUAUUGGGCAAUGCCCGAAAGGGUGACCCAGCAACGCCGCGUGGAGGAUGAAGGUCGUAAGAUUGUAAACUCCUGUUAGAGGGGAAGAAUAACUAAGUUUGGAGCUUAGUAUGACUGUACCCUCAGAGAAAGCCCCGGCUAACUACGUGCCAGCAGCCGCGGUAAUACGUAGGGGGCAAGCGUUGCCCGGAUUUACUGGGUGUAAAGGGCGCGCAGGCGGAAUGGAAAGUCAGUGGUGAAAUCCUACAGCUUAACUGUAGAACUGCCUUUGAUACUUUCAUUCUUGAGUUCGGGAGAGAGAGACGGAAUUCCAGGUGUAGUGGUGAAAUACGUAGAUAUCUGGAAGAACACCAGUUGCGAAGGCGGUCUCUUGGUCCGAUACUGACGCUGAGGCGCGAAAGCGUGGGGAGCAAACA
Molecule: ribosomal RNA, 422 nt
Filed under: uncultured bacterium
Lineage: Bacteria
Description: bacterial SSU rRNA
Rfam family: Bacterial small subunit ribosomal RNA
Source: RNAcentral